This 79-nucleotide transfer RNA is filed under the name Polychaeton citri CBS 116435. It matches the Rfam family "tRNA". From Rfam's summary of the family: Transfer RNA (tRNA) molecules are approximately 80 nucleotides in length. Their secondary structure includes four short double-helical elements and three loops (D, anti-codon, and T loops). The record is from Rfam by way of RNAcentral. Lineage: Eukaryota; Fungi; Ascomycota; Dothideomycetes; Capnodiales; Capnodiaceae.
UCCGAUGUGGUCUAGUGGCUAGGAUUUGUCGCUCUCAUGAAGUGCCGACAAGGCCGGGGUUCAAUUCCCCGCAUCGGAA